GACUGAGUAGUUGAAGAACAAUGUUUAAUUGCAGAUUAAGAGGUGUAGAGUUACUUUGGUUU
RNAcentral lists this transfer RNA (62 nucleotides) under Nipponnemertes punctatula. Its description in RNAcentral is "tRNA-Cys". The record is from RNAcentral. Lineage: Eukaryota; Metazoa; Nemertea; Enopla; Monostilifera; Cratenemertidae.